RNAcentral lists this ribosomal RNA (470 nucleotides) under uncultured bacterium. Its description in RNAcentral is "bacterial SSU rRNA". It matches the Rfam family "Bacterial small subunit ribosomal RNA", at positions 28 to 507 of the family's 1533-position model. The record is from RNAcentral.
GAUGAACGCUAGCUACAGGCUUAACACAUGCAAGUCGAGGGGCAGCAUGACGAUAGCUUGCUAUUGUUGAUGGCGACCGGCGCACGGGUGAGUAACGCGUAUCCAACCUUCCCGUUGCUAGGGGAUAACCUUGCGAAAGUAAGACUAAUACCCUAUGAAGUUCUUCGCAGGCAUCUAAAGAGAACGAAAGAUUUAUCGGCAACGGAUGGGGAUGCGUCUGAUUAGGUUGUUGGCGGGGUAACGGCCCACCAAGCCCACGAUCAGUAGGGGUUCUGAGAGGAAGGUCCCCCACAUUGGAACUGAGACACGGUCCAAACUCCUACGGGAGGCAGCAGUGAGGAAUAUUGGACAAUGGGGGAAACCCUGAUCCAGCGACGCCGCGUGAGUGAAGAAGUAUUUCGGUAUGUAAAGCUCUAUCAGCAAGGAAGAAAAUGACGGUACUUGACUAAGAAGCCCCGGNUAACUACGUG